This 253-nucleotide ribosomal RNA is filed under the name uncultured bacterium. RNAcentral's name for it is "partial 16S ribosomal RNA". It matches the Rfam family "Bacterial small subunit ribosomal RNA", at positions 524 to 776 of the family's 1533-position model. The record is from RNAcentral.
GACGUAGGGCGCGAGCGUUGUCCGGAAUUAUUGGGCGUAAAGAGCUCGUAGGCGGUUUGUCGCGUCUGCUGUGAAAUCCCGAGGCUCAACCUCGGGCCUGCAGUGGGUACGGGCAGACUGGAGUGCGGUAGGGGAGAAUGGAAUUCCUGGUGUAGCGGUGGAAUGCGCAGAUAUCAGGAGGAACACCGAUGGCGAAGGCAGUUCUCUGGGCCGUAACUGACGCUGAGGAGCGAAAGCGCGGGGAGCGAACAGG